GCACCGGGGUAAAGGUGACUGCUUUGUGCCGCACUGACUGUAAUUUGACUGCCGCCCUCAGAGUAUCAGUCAGUCGGCUUUUUUUCAGUCUGUGAGUGAAGUGCACCUGGAAACUUCAUUUUUAUCCCCUUCCCAAUAUGUCCAUCAGUCGGAAAAACUGGUCAGCUUUGUCCAGCCUCGCUCGUCAGUGGACGAUGGAGGACGAGGAGGAGGUCGAGAGGGAGAAGAGGAGGAGGGUGAAGAGCUCCAGCACCACCGCCGACCCAGAUUCUGACCUGAGUCCUACAAAGAGAAACACAACCACCAGUGACGGCACCACUGGGACAGACUCCAGUGAGACGUCCCAGGGCCUCAGCAGGUGCUUCUCACAGCUCAGCAAAACUAAUUUAUUGAUUUCUGCUUGUCGAAACUUGCCUUUUACAGUCUGAACAUGAUCCUCUUCCUCUGUUGCAUUCUCUCUUUCUUCUUUUGUUUGUUUCUGGCAUGUAAGAUGGCCACUAUUGAUUACUAAAAUGAUGCACACAGGGAGGAUUGUUGCAGUUCUGCCCCAUGGGAGUGUGUCAUCUGUAUUCUUUUCAAACACAAGAAAACACCUGAUACUGUGCAUGAAAAGUAUGAAAAGCUGUCAAAAAAGAACACCAACAGCUGAGUCCCUGGAGCAAAAGCAGCCUUAAAAGACAGAAACCAGAUCAGGUUUUUGGCCUCUGUCUUGAGACGAUCCAUCUUUUGUAUCGGACAUAAACAUGUGCUCAUAUGUUGUUUAUUGCCAGCGUGGAGCAGAUGCAGCUGGACUUUGUGGAGAUGCUGCGAGUGCGCGACGAAAAGAGGAGGAUGAGGCACGUGGAGACGCUGAGACGACAGAAGGAGGAGGAAGAGGUGGAUGAAGGAGAGGCCGGCAGAGGAGGAAGUGGCAGAGUGGAGAUACUGGGAGACCUGGAUGAGGAACAAGGCAACAAUACAUUCAAAACACAACCGCCUUCAAAACCACCCAGCAGUCCCAUCAACAACAGCAGCAGCAGCAGCAGCAGCAAAACCAGAACUAUCAUCACAAACAGACAAUUCUGUCUCCAUCUCACUGGACAAGAGUCCCUCCGUCAGCGGUAGCACAUCUCCCAUGAGCCCACGCUCUCCGACAGCACCCCGGUCGCCCCGGGAACACUGGCCUUCACCCUGCCAGAGUCCGUCUCCUCGGGGGGUUAGAGGCCUUCUUCAGAAUGGACACGCUCAGGAGACCAGUUUGAAUGACUCUUCCGCCAAUGGAAACUUUGAACCGACGGCCAAACCUGCCUUUGUCAGACAGAGCUCCAGGACUGUAUCUUUCAGGAUGAUGAGAAAGAAAGAAGAGGAGACUUCACCGCUGCAGAGGAGUGCAAGUGUGAGGAUGGCCUCCAAGAAGUUUGAAUGCAAUACAGACCAAGAUGAAGAUGAAGACAAAGCAUCAUCUUUCCAGAGAAACUCCAGACAGAGGAUUUCAUCCAGAUCCAUCCAGGAGAAGAUGGAGAGACUGGCUCAGGCUGCACAGAAAUCAGAAGCGACGCGAUCUCCAGACAUGACCCAGAGAUCCCUGUUUCUUCUGGACGAGGUGUCCAGGAAGAGAGGCCUCUUUGAGAAGGAGCAGCCGGCACAGAGUCUCACCAGUCCGGGAGUUUCCAGACAGGAAUUUAGGAGCUUCACGUCAGGAAUGUCCGACCGGAUCAACCGCUGGAUGAACAAGGCAAACCAACCAGGGUCUUCACAUGGUCCUUCGGACUUGAGACACGUGGACAUCAAUAGUAAGAGGAGCUUGUUUGAGAACAGGGGGGAGGAAAACGUCUCAAAAGGCACCCCUGGAAAAAUCUACAAGUGAAGGCCGGUCAUUUAUUAUGCUCAACAGGAUUUCUAAUACAGCAUGACGAGAGACGGCGAUUGAGGGAUGAUUAACGGAUGCCAUGACUGACUGAUUUUCUUCUUUUUCUUUUCUUUUUUUCUUCACUGCUAAUGUGAGCAACCAGCAGGAGUCACCGAGGGGAAAAAAAGUGUUGCGUUGUAGCUUUAGAGGACUGAAAUGGAAGACACAGCUUUUAAAGUUAGGAGGCUUCUAUCAUUUACUUCUGCAUUGCUUCUCGAAGUAUAAAUAUGUCUUAUUUCAAAUGCUGAAUGUUAAAAGUCAGAGUGAGGAAAGGAGUUAAAAGGAAUGUCGACAUGAGAGGAAGAGAAAGUGGGAGAAAAAGGAAGGGCGGUGGUAUUUGUUCUUUCAAAAAAAGAAAAACCUUUUCAUGUGUUUGCAUCUGUGUAAUUUUCCAAGCACUUUAAAAGGGUGAAGGUCUUGAUGAUGUCUGUGUGCAUUGAACUUGAGCACUGCUCGAGUUGUAAUUGUAUGUUUUAUCUAAUCUGCCAAACAUAAUUUUGUGUUUCAUCUGGACUCGUGGACAAGAUUCUGCCUGUCUGAGGAAUAAAAUGUUUUCCUAC
This is a long non-coding RNA of Amphiprion ocellaris (clown anemonefish), 2448 nucleotides long. Lineage: Eukaryota; Metazoa; Chordata; Actinopteri; Pomacentridae. The record is from Ensembl.